AGGUUGUGAUGUGGACACUUGCGCAAUAAAUCCUUGUAUGUCUCAUAUGCCUCAAAUAAUGAUUCACCCUCAAUUUGGGUGAAGGUUGUAAUAUCGUUCCUUAAUUC
Juglans regia (Persian walnut) is the source of this 107-nucleotide small nucleolar RNA. NCBI's taxonomy places the organism in Eukaryota, Viridiplantae, Streptophyta, Magnoliopsida, Fagales, Juglandaceae. The record is from RefSeq and is a predicted model, not a curated record.